CAGUAGCCGCGGUAAUACGGAGGGAGCUAGCGUUGUUCGGAAUUACUGGGCGUAAAGCGCACGUAGGCGGUUAUUCAAGUCAGAGGUGAAAGCCCGGGGCUCAACCCGGACACUGCCUUUCAUACUGGGGACCUUGAGUGUGGGAGAGGCGAGUGGAAUGGUCGGUGUAGCGGUGAAAUGCGUAGAUAUCGAUCGGAACACCCAUGGCGAAGGCAGCUCGCUGGCCUAACACUGACGCUGAGGCGCGAAAGCGUGGGGAGCAAACAGGAUUAGAUACCCCCGUAGUCCCUGUCUCUUAUAC
Molecule: ribosomal RNA, 301 nt
Filed under: uncultured bacterium
Lineage: Bacteria
Description: partial 16S ribosomal RNA
Rfam family: Bacterial small subunit ribosomal RNA
Source: RNAcentral